Tieghemiomyces parasiticus is the source of this 73-nucleotide non-coding RNA. Lineage: Eukaryota; Fungi; Kickxellomycota; Dimargaritomycetes; Dimargaritales; Dimargaritaceae. The record is from the annotation of a GenBank genome assembly.
GCUUCGAUAGCUCAACUUGGUAGAGCAUAGGGCUGAAAACUCUAGGGAAGAUGUUCAAGUCAUCUUCGAAGCA